AUUGAACGCUGGCGGCAUGCCUUACACAUGCAAGUCGAACGGUAGCGCGGGGUAACCUGGCGACGAGUGGCGAACGGGUGAGUAAUGCAUCGGAACGUGCCCUGGAAUGGGGGAUAACGUAGCGAAAGUUACGCUAAUACCGCAUAUUCUGUGAGCAGGAAAGCAGGGGAUCGCAAGACCUUGCGUUCUGGGAGCGGCCGAUGUCGGAUUAGCUAGUUGGUGGGGUAAAGCCUACCAAGGCGACGAUCCGUAGCGGGUCUGAGAGGAUGAUCCGCCACACUGGGACUGAGACACGGCCCAGACUCCUACGGGAGGCAGCAGUGGGGAAUUUUGGACAAUGGGCGGAAGCCUGAUCCAGCCAUGCCGCGUGAGUGAAGAAGGCC
Molecule: ribosomal RNA, 383 nt
Filed under: uncultured bacterium
Lineage: Bacteria
Description: bacterial SSU rRNA
Rfam family: Bacterial small subunit ribosomal RNA
Source: RNAcentral